UUAAGCGACCAAGCGUACACGGUGGAUGCCCUGGCAGUCAGAGGCGAUGAAGGACGUGCUAAUCUGCGAUAAGCGCCGGUAAGGUGAUAUGAACCGUUAUAACCGGCGAUUUCCGAAUGGGGAAACCCAGUGUGAUUCGUCACACUAUCAUUACGUGAAUACAUAGCGUAAUGAAGCGAACCGGGGGAACUGAAACAUCUAAGUACCCCGAGGAAAAGAAAUCAACCGAGAUUCCCCCAGUAGCGGCGAGCGAACGGGGAGGAGCCCAGAGCCUGAAUCAGCAUGUGUGUUAGUGGAAGCGUCUGGAAAGGCGCGCGAUACAGGGUGACAGCCCCGUACACAAAAGCGCAUAUGCUGUGAGCUCGAUGAGUAGGGCGGGACACGUGGUAUCCUGUCUGAAUAUGGGGGGACCAUCCUCCAAGGCUAAAUACUCCUGACUGACCGAUAGUGAACCAGUACCGUGAGGGAAAGGCGAAAAGAACCCCGGCGAGGGGAGUGAAACAGAACCUGAAACCGUGUACGUACAAGCAGUGGGAGCACAGGUUUACCUGUGUGACUGCGUACCUUUUGUAUAAUGGGUCAGCGACUUAUAUUCUGUAGCAAGGUUAACCGCAUAGGGGAGCCGAAGGGAAACCGAGUCUUAACCGGGCGUUAAGUUGCAGGGUAUAGACCCGAAACCCGGUGAUCUAGCCAUGGGCAGGUUGAAGGUUGGGUAACACUAACUGGAGGACCGAACCGACUAAUGUUGAAAAAUUAGCGGAUGACCUGUGGCUGGGGGUGAAAGGCCAAUCAAACCGGGAGAUAGCUGGUUCUCCCCGAAAGCUAUUUAGGUAGCGCCUCGUGAACUCAUCUCCGGGGGUAGAGCACUGUUUCGGCUAGGGGGCCAUCCCGGCUUACCAACCCGAUGCAAACUGCGAAUACCGGAGAAUGUUAUCACGGGAGACACACGGCGGGUGCUAACGUCCGUCGUGAAGAGGGAAACAACCCAGACCGCCAGCUAAGGUCCCAAAGUCAUGGUUAAGUGGGAAACGAUGUGGGAAGGCCCAGACAGCCAGGAUGUUGGCUUAGAAGCAGCCAUCAUUUAAAGAAAGCGUAAUAGCUCACUGGUCGAGUCGGCCUGCGCGGAAGAUGUAACGGGGCUAAACCAUGCACCGAAGCUGCGGCAGCGACACUGUGUGUUGUUGGGUAGGGGAGCGUUCUGUAAGCCUGCGAAGGUGGCCUGUGAGGGUUGCUGGAGGUAUCAGAAGUGCGAAUGCUGACAUAAGUAACGAUAAAGCGGGUGAAAAGCCCGCUCGCCGGAAGACCAAGGGUUCCUGUCCAACGUUAAUCGGGGCAGGGUGAGUCGACCCCUAAGGCGAGGCCGAAAGGCGUAGUCGAUGGGAAACGGGUUAAUAUUCCCGUACUUGGUGUUACUGCGAAGGGGGGACGGAGAAGGCUAUGUUGGCCGGGCGACGGUUGUCCCGGUUUAAGCAUGUAGGCGGAUGUUCCAGGUAAAUCCGGAACGUUACUAACGCUGAGGUGUGAUGACGAGGCACUACGGUGCUGAAGCAACAAAUGCCCUGCUUCCAGGAAAAGCCUCUAAGCAUCAGGUAACAUCAAAUCGUACCCCAAACCGACACAGGUGGUCAGGUAGAGAAUACCAAGGCGCUUGAGAGAACUCGGGUGAAGGAACUAGGCAAAAUGGUGCCGUAACUUCGGGAGAAGGCACGCUGACACGUAGGUGAAGUGGUUUACCCAUGGAGCUGAAGUCAGUCGAAGAUACCAGCUGGCUGCAACUGUUUAUUAAAAACACAGCACUGUGCAAACACGAAAGUGGACGUAUACGGUGUGACGCCUGCCCGGUGCCGGAAGGUUAAUUGAUGGGGUUAGCGCAAGCGAAGCUCCUGAUCGAAGCCCCGGUAAACGGCGGCCGUAACUAUAACGGUCCUAAGGUAGCGAAAUUCCUUGUCGGGUAAGUUCCGACCUGCACGAAUGGCGUAAUGAUGGCCAGGCUGUCUCCACCCGAGACUCAGUGAAAUUGAACUCGCUGUGAAGAUGCAGUGUACCCGCGGCAAGACGGAAAGACCCCGUGAACCUUUACUAUAGCUUGACACUGAACAUUGAGCCUUGAUGUGUAGGAUAGGUGGGAGGCUUUGAAGCGUGGACGCCAGUCUGCGUGGAGCCGACCUUGAAAUACCACCCUUUAAUGUUUGAUGUUCUAACGUGGACCCGUAAUCCGGGUUGCGGACAGUGUCUGGUGGGUAGUUUGACUGGGGCGGUCUCCUCCUAAAGAGUAACGGAGGAGCACGAAGGUUGGCUAAUCCUGGUCGGACAUCAGGAGGUUAGUGCAAUGGCAUAAGCCAGCUUGACUGCGAGCGUGACGGCGCGAGCAGGUGCGAAAGCAGGUCAUAGUGAUCCGGUGGUUCUGAAUGGAAGGGCCAUCGCUCAACGGAUAAAAGGUACUCCGGGGAUAACAGGCUGAUACCGCCCAAGAGUUCAUAUCGACGGCGGUGUUUGGCACCUCGAUGUCGGCUCAUCACAUCCUGGGGCUGAAGUAGGUCCCAAGGGUAUGGCUGUUCGCCAUUUAAAGUGGUACGCGAGCUGGGUUUAGAACGUCGUGAGACAGUUCGGUCCCUAUCUGCCGUGGGCGCUGGAGAACUGAGGGGGGCUGCUCCUAGUACGAGAGGACCGGAGUGGACGCAUCACUGGUGUUCGGGUUGUCAUGCCAAUGGCACUGCCCGGUAGCUAAAUGCGGAAGAGAUAAGUGCUGAAAGCAUCUAAGCACGAAACUUGCCCCGAGAUGAGUUCUCCCUGAGACUAUAAGUCUCCUGAAGGAACGUUGAAGACGACGACGUUGAUAGGCCGGGUGUGUAAGCGCAGCGAUGCGUUGAGCUAACCGGUACUAAUGAACCGUGAGGCUUAACCUU
Molecule: ribosomal RNA, 2906 nt
Filed under: Salmonella enterica subsp. salamae
Lineage: Bacteria; Pseudomonadati; Pseudomonadota; Gammaproteobacteria; Enterobacterales; Enterobacteriaceae
Description: bacterial LSU rRNA
Rfam family: Bacterial large subunit ribosomal RNA
Source: RNAcentral